AGAGUUUGAUCCUGGCUCAGGACGAACGCUGGCGGCGUGCCUAAUACAUGCAAGUCGAGCGAAUCUGAGGGAGCUUGCUCCCAAAGAUUAGCGGCGGACGGGUGAGUAACACGUGGGUAACCUGCCUGUAAGAUUGGGAUAACUCCGGGAAACCGGAGCUAAUACCGGAUAAUAUUUUGAACCGCAUGGUUCAAAAUUGAAAGACGGCUUUUGCUGUCACUUACAGAUGGACCCGCGGCGCAUUAGCUAGUUGGUGAGGUAACGGCUCACCAAGGCAACGAUGCGUAGCCGACCUGAGAGGGUGAUCGGCCACACUGGGACUGAGACACGGCCCAGACUCCUACGGGAGGCAGCAGUAGGGAAUCUUCCGCAAUGGACGAAAGUCUGACGGAGCAACGCCGCGUGAACGAUGAAGGCCUUCGGGUCGUAAAGUUCUGUUGUUAGGGAAGAACAAGUACCAGAGUAACUGCUGGUACCUUGACGGUACCUAACCAGAAAGCCACGGCUAACUACGUGCCAGCAGCCGCGGUAAUACGUAGGUGGCAAGCGUUGUCCGGAAUUAUUGGGCGUAAAGCGCGCGCAGGCGGUUUCUUAAGUCUGAUGUGAAAGCCCACGGCUCAACCGUGGAGGGUCAUUGGAAACUGGGGAACUUGAG
RNAcentral lists this ribosomal RNA (655 nucleotides) under uncultured marine bacterium. Its description in RNAcentral is "bacterial SSU rRNA". It matches the Rfam family "Bacterial small subunit ribosomal RNA", at positions 8 to 646 of the family's 1533-position model. The record is from RNAcentral.